This 301-nucleotide ribosomal RNA is filed under the name uncultured bacterium. Its description in RNAcentral is "partial 16S ribosomal RNA". It matches the Rfam family "Bacterial small subunit ribosomal RNA", at positions 509 to 807 of the family's 1533-position model. The record is from RNAcentral.
CAGUCGCCACGGUAAUACGAAGGGGGCUAGCGUUGCUCGGAAUGACUGGGCGUAAAGGGCGCGUAGGCGGAUUGCGCAGUCAGAUGUGAAAUUCCUGGGCUUAACCUGGGGGCUGCAUUUGAGACGCGUAGUCUAGAGUGUGAAAGAGGGUCGUGGAAUUCCCAGUGUAGAGGUGAAAUUCGUAGAUAUUGGGAAGAACACCGGUGGCGAAGGCGGCGACCUGGUUCAUAACUGACGCUGAGGCGCGAAAGCGUGGGGAGCAAACAGGAUUAGAUACCCCCGUAGUCCCUGUCUCUUAUAC